RNAcentral lists this ribosomal RNA (266 nucleotides) under uncultured bacterium. RNAcentral describes it as "partial 16S ribosomal RNA". It matches the Rfam family "Bacterial small subunit ribosomal RNA", at positions 794 to 1055 of the family's 1533-position model. The record is from RNAcentral.
GUCACGCUGUAAACGAAUGAGAACUAGAUGUUGGGAGGGUUUUGCCUCUCAGUGUCGCAGCUAACGCGCUAAGUUCUCCGCCUGGGGAGUACGGCCGCAAGGUUGAAACUCAAAGGAAUUGACGGGGACCCGGCACAAGCGGUGGAGCAUGUGGUUUAAUUUCGAUGCAACGCGAAGAACCUUACCUGGUCUUGACAUCCCAGGAACCUCGCAGAGAUGUGGGGGUGCCGUUCGGAACCUGGAGACAGGUGCUGCAUGGCUGUCGU